Molecule: microRNA precursor, 65 nt
Filed under: Echinops telfairi (small Madagascar hedgehog)
Lineage: Eukaryota; Metazoa; Chordata; Mammalia; Afrosoricida; Tenrecidae
Description: Ete-Mir-15-P2b_pre stem-loop
Rfam family: mir-16 microRNA precursor family
About the family: The hairpin precursors (represented here) are predicted based on base pairing and cross-species conservation -- their extents are not known. In this case the mature sequence is excised from the 5' arm of the hairpin.
Source: RNAcentral
UAGCAGCACGUAAAUAUUGGCGUAGUGGAAUAAAUAUUAAACACCAAUAUUAUUGUGCUGCUUUA